GGAGAAAUACCCAAGUGGCUGAAGGGUUCGGUCUUGAAAACCGAUAGGGGGAGCAAUCCCCGCGGGGGUUCAAAUCCCUCUUUCUCCGCCA
This 91-nucleotide transfer RNA is filed under the name Acholeplasmatales bacterium. Its description in RNAcentral is "tRNA-Ser". It matches the Rfam family "tRNA". From Rfam's summary of the family: Transfer RNA (tRNA) molecules are approximately 80 nucleotides in length. Their secondary structure includes four short double-helical elements and three loops (D, anti-codon, and T loops). Further hydrogen bonds mediate the characteristic L-shaped molecular structure. tRNAs have two regions of fundamental functional importance: the anti-codon, which is responsible for specific mRNA codon recognition, and the 3' end, to which the tRNAs corresponding amino acid is attached (by aminoacyl-tRNA synthetases). tRNAs cope with the degeneracy of the genetic code in two manners: having more than one tRNA (with a specific anti-codon) for a particular amino acid; and 'wobble' base-pairing, i.e. permitting non-standard base-pairing at the 3rd anti-codon position. Lineage: Bacteria; Bacillati; Mycoplasmatota; Mollicutes; Acholeplasmatales. The record is from RNAcentral.